GAUGAACGCUGGCGGCGUGCUUAACACAUGCAAGUCGAACGAUGAAGCCCAGCUUGCUGGGUGGAUUAGUGGCGAACGGUGAGUAACACGUGAGUAACCUGCCCUUAACUCUAGGAUAAGCCUGGGAAACUGGGUCUAAUACCGGAUAGGAGCGUCCACCGCAUGGUGGGUGUUGGAAAGAUUUAUCGGUUUUGGAUGGACUCGCGGCCUAUCAGCUUGUUGGUGAGGUAAUGGCUCACCAAGGCGACGACGGGUAGCCGGCCUGAGAGGGUGACCGGCCACACUGGGACUGAGACACGGCCCAGACUCCUACGGGAGGCAGCAGUGGGGAAUAUUGCACAAUGGGCGCAAGCCUGAUGCAGCGACGCCGCGUGAGGGAUGACGGCCUUCGGGUUGUAAACCUCUUUCAGUAGGGAAGAAGCGAAAGUGACGGUACCUGCAGAAGAAGCACCGGCUAACUACGUG
RNAcentral lists this ribosomal RNA (465 nucleotides) under uncultured bacterium. RNAcentral's name for it is "partial 16S ribosomal RNA". It matches the Rfam family "Bacterial small subunit ribosomal RNA", at positions 28 to 507 of the family's 1533-position model. The record is from RNAcentral.